This 372-nucleotide ribosomal RNA is filed under the name uncultured bacterium. RNAcentral describes it as "bacterial SSU rRNA". It matches the Rfam family "Bacterial small subunit ribosomal RNA", at positions 524 to 898 of the family's 1533-position model. The record is from RNAcentral.
UACGGAGGAUGCAAGCGUUAUCCGGAUUCAUUGGGUUUAAAGGGUGCGCAGGCGGAAUGAUAAGUCAGUGGUGAAAUCCUACGGCUCAACUGUAGAACUGCCAUUGAUACUGUUGUUCUUGAGUACACUUGAAGUGGGCGGAAUGUGUCAUGUAGCGGUGAAAUGCUUAGAUAUGACACAGAACACCGAUCGCGAAGGCAGCUCACUAAAUUGUAACUGACGCUCAGGCACGAAAGCGUGGGGAUCAAACAGGAUUAGAUACCCUGGUAGUCCACGCCGUAAACGAUGAUCACUCGAUGUUGGCGAUAUACAGUCAGCGUCUAAGCGAAAGCAUUAAGUGAUCCACCUGGGGAGUACGGCCGCAAGGUUGAA